This 254-nucleotide ribosomal RNA is filed under the name uncultured bacterium. Its description in RNAcentral is "partial 16S ribosomal RNA". It matches the Rfam family "Bacterial small subunit ribosomal RNA", at positions 524 to 776 of the family's 1533-position model. The record is from RNAcentral.
UACAGAGGGGGCAAGCGUUGUUCGGAAUUACUGGGCGUAAAGGGCGCGUAGGCGGCCUGUUAAGUCGAACGUGAAAUCCCCGGGCUCAACCCGGGAACUGCGUCCGAUACUGGCAGGCUUGAAUCCGGGAGAGGGAUGUGGAAUUCCAGGUGUAGCGGUGAAAUGCGUAGAUAUCUGGAGGAACACCGGUGGCGAAGGCGGCAUCCUGGACCGGUAUUGGACGCUGAGGCGCGAAAGCCAGGGGAGCAAACGGG